Molecule: long non-coding RNA, 1198 nt
Organism: Chenopodium quinoa (quinoa)
Lineage: Eukaryota; Viridiplantae; Streptophyta; Magnoliopsida; Caryophyllales; Amaranthaceae
Exons: 2
Source: RefSeq, a predicted model, not a curated record
UGCUAGGGUUAAUUUCAUUUUGAAACUUUUUUUUUAAAAAAAAAAUUGCGAGUAACAUUGAAACUAGUUGGUAUUUGGUAAUUUCUACCCUUGUUUUUAAAAUUUACUCGUAUUAAAAAAGAAAUAUAACAAAAACUUGACUUAAUCAAUCACUCUUAAGUCUCAAGUUAUAUUUCCUCAAAAAAAAAAGUGUUAAGUCAAUUAUUCAUCUAUGCUGAACAAACUCUUCAUCCUAAAAAAUAAAACACGCAGAAGGCUAAUUCUGAUAAUCAACCCUCAUUGUCGCUCAUGUCGAUCUACCUCCGCUGCGUGGCCUGCGCCACCAAUUCUCUUACCAGGGAGAAUAUAUGGUAAAACUUGAGGAAAAUAUAAAAACAAAGGAAUUGAGGUAAGCCCUUACAAAGUCUAUUUGGAGGUAGGUGGGUAAAAGAAAGGAAAAGUUUACGAUUUACGCAGCGCUUCACAAAUGUACUAAAAGAGUGAUCCUACUCCCAUCAUACUGCAUCAUCUUUCACUACUUCCAUGAUUUCCCAACUAUGUUCUCAAGUUGAAGAAUUAAAGAAGAUGGCGGAAGAAAACCAUAACAAGGCAGAAGAAAGCUAAAAAAUGGAUGCGGAAAGCUUAAAAUAUGCUAAGGAAAGCUACUUGGAAGAAGGAAAAAAUGGAUAUGCACAAAACAUUGAAGGAAAUGAUAACUCUUGUCCAACAUUACUGUCCUUCUAGGCCUCUAAUCUCACCCGGGUGGUAAUUUUGUGAACAUUUGAAUUUAUUUUUGGAGAUGUAUUUUUAUAUCGUCAUUAGUUCUUAUUGGAAGUAGAUUCCUUUGUGUGGGAGUUGAUUUUUGAAAUAACUAGUCGUUGAAGCACGCGCGUUGCGCGUGCUCCCUCGACGGCAAGAUAAGUAUGAUUCGUGAAAUUGUUCCUUUUUUGAGGUUUUCGUGAUUUUGUUUAGGUCAAGUAAUUAUAGAGGCUUUUUUAAUUUAUAAGUUGUUAGAAGGGGUAGUGAUAAAGCUUGUAAGAUAAGUAAAAUUCGUAGUUGUGUUCGGUUAUUGUAAUAUUCGUGGUUGUAUUCGGUUUUGUAAUAGCAAGGAUACAAGAAUUUGUAAGUACUAACAAGGAAUAGUGAUAAAGUUUCUAUGGAGAUAUAUGUAUGGAAAAACAAUUGAUAUAAGUGAAGUUAUCUAGAAUUUGUUAGAAUU